AGAGUUUGAUCCUGGCUCAGAUUGAACGCUGGCGGCAGGCCUAACACAUGCAAGUCGGGCGGUAACACAGGGAGCUUGCUCCUGGGUGACGAGCGGCGGACGGGUGAGUAAUGUCUGGGAAACUGCCUGAUGGAGGGGGAUAACUACUGGAAACGGUAGCUAAUACCGCAUAACGUCGCAAGACCAAAGAGGGGGACCUUCGGGCCUCUUGCCAUCAGAUGUGCCCAGAUGGGAUUAGCUAGUAGGUGGGGUAACGGCUCACCUAGGCGACGAUCCCUAGCUGGUCUGAGAGGAUGACCAGCCACACUGGAACUGAGACACGGUCCAGACUCCUACGGGAGGCAGCAGUGGGGAAUAUUGCACAAUGGGCGCAAGCCUGAUGCAGCCAUGCCGCGUGUAUGAAGAAGGCCUUCGGGUUGUAAAGUACUUUCAGCGGGGAGGAAGGUGUUGUGGUUAAUAACCACAGCAAUUGACGUUACCCGCAGAAGAAGCACCGG
RNAcentral lists this ribosomal RNA (497 nucleotides) under uncultured bacterium. RNAcentral describes it as "bacterial SSU rRNA". It matches the Rfam family "Bacterial small subunit ribosomal RNA", at positions 8 to 496 of the family's 1533-position model. The record is from RNAcentral.